GUGAGGAAUAUUGCGCAAUGGGCGAAAGCCUGACGCAGCGACGCCGCGUGGAGGAUGAAGGUCUUCGGAUUGUAAACUCCUGUCGAGCGGGACGAAGGCGGUGAGCGUUAACAGCGCUCGCCGUUGACGGUACCGCUGGAGGAAGCCCCGGCUAACUCCGUGCCAGCAGCCGCGGUAAUACGGAGGGGGCCAGCGUUGUUCGGAAUCAUUGGGCGUAAAGGGCGCGUAGGCGGCCGAUCAAGUCCGACGUGAAAUUCCCCGGCUCAACCGGGGGCCUGCGUCGGAUACUGCUCGGCUCGAGUCCCGGAGAGGGUAGUGGAAUUCCCAGUGUAGCGGUGAAAUGCGUAGAUACUGGGAGGAACACCGGUGGCGAAGGCGGCUACCUGGACGGGUACUGACGCUGAGGCGCGAGAGCUAGGGGAGCAAACAGGAUUAGAAACCCCAGUAGUCC
RNAcentral lists this ribosomal RNA (451 nucleotides) under uncultured bacterium. RNAcentral describes it as "bacterial SSU rRNA". It matches the Rfam family "Bacterial small subunit ribosomal RNA", at positions 354 to 796 of the family's 1533-position model. The record is from RNAcentral.